ACGGAGGGUGCAAGCGUUAUCCGGAUUCACUGGGUUUAAAGGGUGCGUAGGUGGGCAGGUAAGUCAGUGGUGAAAUCUCCGGGCUUAACCCGGAAACUGCCGUUGAUACUAUUUGUCUUGAAUAUUGUGGAGGUAAGCGGAAUAUGUCAUGUAGCGGUGAAAUGCUUAGAUAUGACAUAGAACACCAAUUGCGAAGGCAGCUUACUAUGCGAUAAUUGACACUGAGGCUCGAAAGCGUGGGUAGCAAACAGGA
Molecule: ribosomal RNA, 253 nt
Filed under: uncultured prokaryote
Description: partial 16S ribosomal RNA
Rfam family: Bacterial small subunit ribosomal RNA
Source: RNAcentral